RNAcentral lists this ribosomal RNA (406 nucleotides) under uncultured bacterium. RNAcentral describes it as "partial 16S ribosomal RNA". It matches the Rfam family "Bacterial small subunit ribosomal RNA", at positions 29 to 526 of the family's 1533-position model. The record is from RNAcentral.
AUUGAACGCUGGCGGCAGGCCUAACACAUGCAAGUCGAGCGAGCGGCGGACGGGUGAGUAAUGUCUGGGAAACUGCCUGAUGGAGGGGGAUAACUCCUGGAAACGGUAGCUAAUACCGCAUACCAUCAGAUGUGCCCAGAUGGGAUUAGCUAGUGGGUGGGGUAACGGCUCACCUAGGCGACGAUCCCUAGCUGGUCUGAGAGGAUGACCAGUCACAGGGGAAAAGAGAAACGGUCCAGAAGCAGACGGGAGGAAGCAGUGGGGAAUAUUGCACAAUGGGCGCAAGCCUGAGGCAGCCAUGCGGAGUGGUGGAAGAAGGCCUUCGGGUGGUAAAGCACUUUCAGCGGGGAGGAGUGAACCGCAGAAGAAGAACCGGCUAACACCGUGCCAGCAGCCGCGGUAAUAC